RNAcentral lists this ribosomal RNA (253 nucleotides) under uncultured bacterium. RNAcentral describes it as "partial 16S ribosomal RNA". It matches the Rfam family "Bacterial small subunit ribosomal RNA", at positions 524 to 776 of the family's 1533-position model. The record is from RNAcentral.
UACGAAGGGGGCUAGCGUUGCUCGGAAUCACUGGGCGUAAAGGGUGCGUAGGCGGGUCUUUAAGUCAGGGGUGAAAUCCUGGAGCUCAACCCCAGAACUGCCUUUGAUACUGAAGAUCUUGAGUUCGGGAGAGGUGAGUGGAACUGCGAGUGUAGAGGUGAAAUUCGUAGAUAUUCGCAAGAACACCAGUGGCGAAGGCGGCUCACUGGGCCGAUACUGACGCUGAGGAGCGAAAGCGUGGGGAGCAAACAGG